This 546-nucleotide long non-coding RNA is filed under the name Sorghum bicolor (sorghum). RNAcentral describes it as "long non-coding RNA (SBIC_LNC003706)". The record is from RNAcentral. Lineage: Eukaryota; Viridiplantae; Streptophyta; Magnoliopsida; Poales; Poaceae.
CUCUGCUCGGCUGUCCCCGGAACGAUCUCUCUGGCGCGAGCAGGCGCGGAUUAGGCGGCGGCGCCGGAUCUGGGGAAGACGGGUGCGCACGGUUCGCAGCUGCAGGUAGCGCAGGUGCCUCCUCUCGGCUCUCGGGACUCGGCCUCAAUUGGGGAAAUCAGGAUCAGGGCCGGGGCAGCAGGCAGGCAGAGAGGUAGGUGGGGGGGGGGGGGGGGGGGGGGGGUUAGGAGCUGAGGCAAAGCCAGCCGAGGCGGAGGUGGAGAGGAGGGUGGGGAAGAGAGAGCUAGAGACAGAGAGAGCGAGACGACGCGAAAAGAGGAGGGAGAGGGAGGGAAAACAACAGCGCGUGUACAACUCAGGGACAGGGCAGCAGCGGAAUAUUUAUACCGAUAAAAAAAAACGCGGCAUGCGCGCGGGUGACGCCACGCGAUCACGGCACAGGAAACCAGGCAAUCCCGCCGCCGAGACGGAGCAAAAGGUUUUUUCGUUUUCUUGCCCAGCUCCGGUCCGGUUCGUUUCUUGCCGUGCGGUUUUGACCGUGGCAGG